GGUGAAAGGAAACAAAAUCUGGUUGAACAUUAACCCCAAUUUUCUUUUCCAAAAGUCUUAGUUGGGAAGAUCUGUUUGUAACACUGUACUUAGAGAUACUGCUGAAGGUCUCCAUACCAGAUGGGCACAUAACAGCCGCGGGCACAGCCUGCCAUGCUUCUCACUCCCAUGGCAGUCUCCAUCCUGCACUGCAGCAGCUAUGGAGUAAUGCAAGCAGAACACACCAAGAGGCUUUGGAAAUUUAUUCCAUCUGUUGUGUUGUGUUUUGGCUGAAGAACAGUCCAAGUCCUAUCACUCAUGGUUACGGGAUUGUGCGCUCUUACGACUCCUGCAACUAAUAGCAGGUUACAACAGUAGGAAUCCUUUCCUGGCCACUUCCCAGUGCUUGCAGCCUUUCCUAGGGACUGCAGCGAUAUGCAGAGCUGCCCUGGCCCGACAGCCUGCUGGCUUGUCUCUGGCAGCAGGACACAGCACAUGUCUACAGGAAGAGAUAACAACAUGGCAGAUGCAUGGUGUGGUCUUCGGUCUUUUGUGGUUCAAUGACUUCCUGCGCCAGAAUCUCUUUCUAUGAGGCUACAUGCUAUCAAUAUAUCCUAGUGGAUUAAACAGUUCUUACAAUCCAUGUUUGAACCCAGCACUUAGGGACCUCUCCCAUGAACACUUCACCUUCAUAGCAGACAUUACAUUAGGGAUCCUGUUGGUGACUCAGCAGCGUCUCAUGCCAAUGAACUAAGUAACAGCAAUGAAUUCAAAGCCAGUUCUAAUGCACCAAAGAAAGAGAAUGGCAGACGUUUGGAUGAGGAGUAAUAGCACUGGACUCAGGCAAAUUUUGUUUGUCUACCCAACAUCACAGCAACGGACUGUCAAGCAUCCAGUGCACAAACCAUGUGAUUAACCUGGACAGCUAGGCAAAGUGAAAAUGGGUAUUUAUGCAGCACUGGAGGACCUGUGCUGCAUACUGAGCUGCCACUAUGUCUGUCAACACUCUCCUUUCCCAAGCCUUUUUGUCUCCAUGUUAAUUAUGUCUUUCAGCACUUCCUAAAGCUUUAGUGUAUUUUUCUUGUGUUCCUCCUCCAAUCUCCCUCUCGUCCCAUGACUCCCAUCCUGCCUACUUACUGUUCAUCUCUCAGCUGUUUCUGCAACACUGUCACAUGGCUGGGCUGAGUCAGGCAACCUGGGCCUAAGGACAAACCUGAGAGGAAAACUCGUCUUUCCAAACAUCAAAUUUUCUUCAUAAUCAGAAAAUCAGCAGUCCAUACCGAUGAUCCAAAAGGCAUUACAUAAAUAUUAUAUUACACUUUCUUCUUCCUGCUAGCAUCAUCAGAAUUUUUGCUAUAAUUGGUAAGUUUAGGCAAGACUUAAUGACCAGUAUAUUCCUAACAAAGUAUAUGAAGCAUCUCCCUGAAUUUGAGUAAUUUAAGGCAGUUCACACUAUCAAGAUUCACAGCACUAAAUCAAUCUCAUCUCCAUGUGCGAUAUUUUAUGCCUCCAGGUAUCUGUAUUUCUGAAUACAAAAUGCAUUUCUGUAUGCAAACAGAUCAGGUUUAUCUGAACAGCUUGCUGCCCUUUGUCUAUCCAAAAUGUCCUUUUCAGGUGCAAUGAUGCAUUCAGAAGCUCGACUGAGUAGCACUAAAAUUUCGUGAAAAUCUAUUUAGUGUGCAUUCGUAACGGAGCAGAUUUCUCCUCAGAUCCACUACCAACUAUUUGUCAAAUGGCUAUCCUAAGGAAAACAAACUAACAUGAUCCCAGAUCAAGACUUUUUUGCAACCAGAAUGAAUUUCACAUAAACUUUUGCCUGUCACUACUUAAUCACCAUUUAUUCACAGUAACUAUGCAUCGCUAUCUUAUGGUUGCUGUCCUUUCCUACAGAGAUGGGGGGUUCAGGACAUUAGUUCAUCUGUAGAUCCUAAGAAGUUAUCUCUCCCCCAGAAUAUGCAAUGUGUAGAAAAACCCUACGGAGCUGUUCCUCCUUUAGUGUCCACCAGGCUCCCCACAGUAUCCAGGAACAAUUAUGGAAAUAAUCGUUGUUCUAAGCGAAGGACUACACGAUGAUGCGUAAAGUUUAAUAACAAAAGCUUCCCCUGCUCCAUCCGUCUUGCUGUCAGCUAGACUGUGGCAGGAAGCACAAGGGGUUAAUGUCAAAAUACAUCCCCUGAUACCCCGAUUGCCUUUCCCUACCCAUUGUUUCCCAACUUCUUUUGAAUGGUCAGAAAUUUUCCGCUUGAGUAAACCAUCAACAGAGCUGGACCAAAUGGAAAAAUGAGUAGGACAAAAAUGAACCUUGCUGGUAAUACAGAAAGGAGACCUGGUUACAGAGCCACGCAUUUCUAGUGCUAGCAUUUAUUGUGAAAAUAGUGUAAUUAAACAAUGAUUUUUUUUCCCUCUUGCAGCAAAAAAUUGUUUGAGGAUAUCAACAUUUUGUAGAGUGCCAUAAAUCUGGUAAAUCUAGCUAUGGAUAACUCAGUACUCAGAAUGGAAAAGGAAUUAACCCAACUCUUUGGAAAGCUUUAAGAAAAAAGCUUUUCAAAAUAGAGCAUCACCGUGUUUUCCUCACACUGCUCCCAUCAGCUUUCCUUCAGCCUGAUGCUUGAUUUCAGAAGUAGCCUCUCUCACCAAUACAUGAGGGCUUCCCGUUCUUCCCUUCCGUUCUGAUCACACUUAGUAUUCUCAUAUUAGUGUGGGUAGCAAAAAAAAAUACAUUCUCACAAAAAACAAGAGUAGUGCAUUUCAGUUAUGGUUUUCUAUUGAUUCAGUUACACUUGAAUUGAUCUCAAAUUGUUUCAAGCAACUGUUCUGCACCCAAAACACCGCACGAACCACAGAAACCAGAUCAAUAGAUUUCAAGUGAAAUAAUUGUUUUCCUUUGUAAGACCCCAUUACUUCUUGAAUGAAGAACUGUUUGAUUGACCUCCAGGAAAGCAGCAGAUGUGAAUAAGCCAAGCACCUCAGGCCUUAUCAUUUAAAGGGAGGCCUUGAAAAUUACAGGAAAGUACAUGGCCAUGUGCUCGGGUAGCUGUGGGAAAUACACAGCUGGAGAAGCCACAAAGCUGCAUUCUACACGAACAAAAUGAGAGCAGUAGCACGUGGCAGAAGUGGCAGAAAUACACUUUUAGUCACCACAAACACACCAAAAAAAUGUUCUACUAGAUAAGAAAAAUGUUCAAGGAUUCUUGAGUGACUGAUUUUAUUUGCACAGUGUUAGCGUUAGUGAGCUUAUUGUCUGGCACUGAUAAAUGUCAUGUAGCUGUGCCCCUGGGCUCACGUCUGUCCCAGUGUGUUCCACAACUGUAGUGCUCUGUGAGUGCGGCCCUUUCCAGGCUGCCACAUUCAGACACACAAGGUAGAGGCAGUAGCCAAGAAAAUCAGGGUGACCUCAUUGGAUCUACCGGCAGGAUGCAGAUUUAUACCAGGUCACCAAUUCACUGGGGUGCCUAAGUGCUGUCAAACAGAGUAAGACAGACUCUUCUAGAGGCUGAGAGCAGGUUGAUGGGGCUACACUGACCCUAGCACAUGAAAUGCUAAUAGCAUCCCCAGGCCACACCUGCAGCAUCGCACUGGAGCCAUCCAGCUGCAGCCCUGCCUCUGUGUGCUCAGGACCUUCCCUCACCCACCUGCAACUGCACCUUUUGCAGGGAAAGGAGAGCCCAGAGAGCAUCCCCUGUCUACAGCUGUGGGCAAAAACAGGAAGGCUUCAAGAAGCCGUGCAGGAGUGAGACAAAGCAGUGCUGAAGGCAGCGGUGCCUGAGAUUAGGGCUGCGGUGUGGAAUGGAGCAGCUGGCCAGAAGGUUAGGACACCUAGAGAGCAUCACUACUGGAAGGUGAUGCUGCAGUAACAAACAUGACAGGCUGGACCUGUCAAUCUCAGCCCCAAAUACCACACUGUCAUCAUUAUAGAGGUUGAGAUGGCACAUGGCAGCAGCAAAGUUACUGCUUAGGUAAUGCAAAUGUGGGUGUUCCCCCAGCGGGUGGCAAUAUGAUGUUACAGAAAACACAUGUGCAGCUACUCAUAAAUUGCAGUUUUCAUCAGCAGUUCUACUUGUAGAUAAUUCCUGCCCUCAGUUGAUGCUUCCCCCACAAAAAAAGUAGGAAAGCAGAAUACAGUGGUGAUAUUUUGUGGUCCUCAGACAAAUGCUGCUCUCCCUAGUAACAGUCCUCCUGGUAUUGGAAAUCUUUAUUUCUUCUAAUUAUAUUGCAAAUAAAUUAAAUGAUCGCGUUAUACCAUAGUAUGUUUUUGUAGGGAAGUCUUGGUUAGCUCUUAGCACAUAUUAGACCUGAUCUGCGCUUUACUCUUUUAUGAGCACAAUUAACUGCAAACACCUUGUCAUAAACAUUUUAAAAGGUCAACAGAUUGCAACAAUUUUGCUAAAGAGAUAAAUGGUCAAAUAAAACAUUGAAUUGUUAAUUCCCAGGUGACAAAAAGCUGCAUGAGUCAGAUCAAUAAGAAGACACAGAGUGAAUUCUGGGAUAAAGGGCGGGUCAACCUUGAAGCGUUAAUAACUCGCUCCUGUUGUUCUGCUCUGGCACAUCAUGUGUUCUAGCAGGUAAAUGAGCUGCUAAUAGCAAAGUAGUGCCCACAGACUCACAGAAGUAAAAGUGGGCGUCAGAGAUUAUUGAAAUGGGAAAAAUAAAUUAAAAAAAAAAAAAAAAGAAAGAAAGGACUUAGCUCUGUUAACACCAGGAAAAACAAUGAGUUUAUAGCAGACAGGUAAGAGCACAAUCUUCCUACUAUUUCUAAUCUAACGUGUUAGUCAACUGCUGGGUAGGGCGUAUGCUUUCUCUUUCUCUCUUUCCAGAUUUUCUCCUUUCAACCUUAAUCUUAAUGCUGGGCUUUUAUUAAACAGUGUCUGUUGAAAACAUACUGCUUUACUUAAGAGAAUUUUAGGAAAUGGUUGUAUUAGGCAACAAAUGAGUGUGCUGACAUGAUGUUCAGGUGGUCUGUACUGUCAGAGAUGUUGUUACGGAAUUAGAACGAUGUGUAUCAGCUUAAAAUCUGCCCCACAGAAUACACCAGUGUUUGUGGAAGGUCAGACAGAGAAAUUAGCAUCCUUGACAGAUAUAUGCUCAUCUAAGAGGCAGAUUCCUUUUGGUGUUUCUAUAGCAGAUGACGCUGCCACCCUUGUGCUCAGCAUUCCUGUCAGCUGGAAACAGUAUUUUAUAAGUUAGUCCUCCUUUUUCUGGGGAACUCAUGCCUUCCUGUCACUUAACUGGCCAUUCAAAUCAAAAUGCAAGUUGGAAAUUGAGAAUGUGCCACUGACAAUUGAAAUGUGAAAAUUUGGAUAAGAGCAUCAUCAAGUCAGAAUACUGGGCAUGAAGGAGGGACUUACAGAAUCCUGCAGGUGACUCUCUGUUUUCUAUAACUCACCCCACGCGAUAUGAUAUUAACUGGAUUACAGUAAAAGUCCUACAAAACAGAUUUUGCUGUUAAAACUCCCCCCCAUCCCAUUUUGUGACUACCUUUAGAUGAGAUGACUGUUUGCUUUUUUUUCAAAUUGUUAAAAUUUCCCUUCUGUCUUAUUCAUAAAAUUCCUACAUAGAGCAGCUAAAUGCCAAAUAUGUCACUUGGAACUGUUUAUUGAAUGACUGUGGCCAGAAGCUGGCUCUUAUUCACCCGUGAGGUAGAAUGGGCUCCUAUUUUCACUUUAUUCUUGGGAACAAAGUGAGGAGAAUCUGAGGCCAUUGGAAAGAGACCACCUGAAGAACUCUUCCCUAAAGCAACUCUAUUUUUUCAGACCUUUACAGGGAAGAAUACAAAAUUUGCAGCCUACGUGCCAAGAAAAUCGGCUUACCAUUAUUUAAUUAAGGAUAUCUUGGAAUAAAAGACAGACUUUUCAAAGAAGACUAUGAAACUUACAGAACUAAAAAUGAAAAAAACAUGUAAAGUCCAUCAGGAAUCGGUAGCUUCUCAUACUUAAAGAAAAAUAUCUACCACCAUUAUGGGAAGGUCUGAGGAACUCAAAACAAAGCAAAGCAUUAGUUACUGGUAUAAAAUAUAGACAGCAACGUCUAUAUUGAUCCCACUGGACACUUGAAGCCAAAUGAACAUUUGAAAGGUCAGUAAUUUUACUUGUGCCAAAUUGGAUGUUUGUCAUUUGUAUCAGACCGGAAGGCAAAUAUCUGAGUAAAUUCAUACGUAAAUUUGAUUACCCCAUAGCUCUAACAGCAAUCUUAUGUCAUCUGACAUGAAAAAUGAAGAGAAAGCACAUAAUCCCAUAUAGCAUGCUGAUCUAAGGGUUGCACAUAGCAUAGAAAUACAUUACAUGGCAAAUGCCUAUUUUUGCAAGCUUUAUAAAUGCCACAAAAACAUGUCUUCCUCUGACAGCAAAUUUUAAGGUUCUGUUGGCUACUCAUUAAAUGAUUUUACAGAUGGAGAUAAACCCUAUUCUUUUAGUGCACUUCAGAAAUAUCUGUUGGGUCUUAGGCAGACUGUAAUUUAAAUGGAUUUAUUUUUAAUUGGUUUUAAUAUUUAAACAAAAAAUUGACUCAAUCAGUUUCCUAGUCAACUCUGAAGCGUGAUUUUAGCUUUAAGAAGAGAAAGGCACAGAACUGUAUUUUUGCAAAAAGAAAAAAAUAUAUAUUUCCACUUAGUGUCUUCUAAAGACAUCACUUGAUACAUACAGCACGAGGCCUCAAGGCUCGAUCAAUCAAUGGCAGUUAUGCCACUAAAAUUAAUGGCUACAGGACGUGACUCAGGUGAGAUUUUCUUUUCCUGGAGUAUUUAAAAUUUAGAGAGUAGCCUGAGAGAUUUCUACAACACAGAUAUAAUGGUAAUAAAUAACAAUCACUAAAUGGAUCUGUCCAAUAUGGCAGAGGAAACAACGGUAAAAUAGUUCAAGCAGAUGUUAAGGCGGUAUCUCUCGUGAUGAAAUCAGCUGACAUCCUCAGAAUACACAUGAACGGUACAAAGGACAUGAACUGACAUCCUACCCUUCUGCAACCCCUCAGGGUUUAUAGCACUUCUGCAAAAUUUCUGGUGACUUCCAGCCCCAUUCUUCCACAACCCAGGUACCUGGAAGCUGCCCCGAUCCACUUUUAUUUCCACAGCCAUCAUCUCCUACACCACUCCUCUUUAGGAAGGUGGAAAAAAAAGAUUGAUGCAAAACUAUACACUGGCACCUAUUGGAAUCUGUGUGACAAACUGCACCCAUCCUUCAGGGAAACACAAAACAGACAGUGACUACCGCAUGGACCUUCCUUUGUCCGUGACACCUAGGAAAGGAAAGCGUUCAACACUGGCAGCCUAGGGGUUAGCAGGACACGAGAGCCCCCGGCAAUGCUUCCCUCCACUGCAAAAUUACAGCUAUGCUUCGCUGCCUUUCGCUGCACCCCAGGGUACAGGAAAACAAAAAGUCCAACAUCGCCUCUGCUCUUUUGUUGCUGUGAUUGUAAAGAUACCCAUGUUAUGGUCCACAGAUUUCUGGCUAGCGUGAAGAUCACACUCUGACAGGCCUACAAAGAAAGAGUAAAAGAUUUUUUUAGGCUUCCUCCAAUGCGAUUAAGUACAGGUUGCUAUCAAAGAAAGUCCAUUACGGUGAUAGUCUGCAGGGCUACCUCUGAACCCCUACCUACAAUUGAGCUCUGGUUAGCUAUCAUUAAUAUUUCAAUUUCAUCACUUGCUGCUAAUUUCGUUUGUUGGGCUACAUGACAUCAAAAGCAUAUAAACGAGGUGCUUUGACACCCUACAACCGUCCAGUACCACACUUUGCUGCUGCUGUUUGCUUUAUUUAGCUAUGCACACCUGGUUUCCCUGGAGCCCUCACUUCCACAAGAAGCAUGCACACGAGCCUUUUCUUUGCAGGCUCACUCGCUCUCUGACACCCAGUCUGACUGUCGGGCCCACCGUUUGAGCCAGGAAGCUUGUAACAUAUCAAUAGUGGCACAGAAAGUUUCCUCACAUAACAGAAGACAGAACAAGCCGUUUUUAAAAUCACAGCUUCUCACUAAUUUUAAAGACAAUAUAAUUUACAUCACUUGAGAUAUGCCAUGAAAUAAUCUGUUUUGCACGAUGUUCUUUUAACCAAUACACACCACUGACAUAACUAAAGUGCCCUUGGUCUGCCCAGAGAGGAAAGUUAACAGCGUGUGUUAUGUGCCUUGUAGUAAUCCUAGUGGAGCACGAAUGUUAGCUUAUUAAAGCAAAUCCCAUCUACUAAAUACCCACAAAGAACUCGAUAGCCCUGACCGACUGCUAUAGUGGUUUUAAUGCCUCAAAAUUCUAACACCGGUUUUUACAAACUGAAUAAUGUGAUAGCCCCACAGGAUAGCAGCUUAACCAGAAAAGCUCUGCGUUGCACAAAUGCAGCCUGAAGUGCAACUAAUUCUUGUGCAGUUUUCCUAAUUAUAUCAAACAAACGUGAUGUGACCCCGUAACUGCGGUCACGUUAAGGCGAGAGUGCGAACCGCUGUGACAGCGCACGUCCUGUGCCUCCCAGCUCCUCCUGUUCCAUUAGCAAGCCCCCGACCUCCCGCGGGACCCCAGCAGCAGCUCCGAGCAGCACAAAGCAGCAGGAGCAGCAUGGAGCAGGUGCUGCAGCUCGCUGCUGCCGUGGUGCACAGGGAGGGAGAGCCGUGGCUCUGCUCCCUACCUCUGAAUUGCCACGACUUGGAGGAGCCUCGCUCCUCUCGCAGGGCAGCUUUAGGAGUGGAUCCUGUGCUUAUCAGGGGUUAUACUGUUACAUAGUUAGACAACCGGUAAGGCUGGAAGAGACACGGCCUAAAGCGCUUCUGUGAUUAGACGCAAAGUCCAGCAUGCGGUACAUUUAAUGGAGGCACAGCAAAAUGAAAUACAUAAAUGUAAAUAAGUUGCCAUCCAGUCAUGCUGCAAUCACAGCACCGCCGUGCUCAGCUCAGACAGCAGUGAGACACAAUGGGAAAACACACACUCUGCACCGUAUCACUUGUGAAGAAUACUGCUUAGCAGUGACGUAACAGCAGCCAUCCUGAUGGAAAGCAUCACCUGUGACUGGCCAUUUGUGGUGACACGUUGUUGACCAUUUGUAUCGUGCUGUCUCCCAUCCCUCUCCUUUCUGCUUUCCACGUGUCCUGUCCCCCUCCCUAACACUCAGUGCUCACCACCCUGAGGACAAAGGCAUUCAGCUUUGCUUUGUUUCUUGCACUGCCACAGUUCUGUGCCAGGCAGGUCGUUAUAGGUGUCUUAAGGAACCUCUAAAAAGCUGUGUUUUCCAUACAGCCGUAACAGUCUCCAGUACUUACUGGGCAAGUCAUGACAUUCCCAAGUGCUCUCAUUCAAAUCAAAUGGAACCAUUGGCAUCCAAAGUCAACAGCACCCUACAGGUGCAAUUACCUGUGCACAUGCCCUUAAAGUUGCAUUUUUAUGUAACCUCUCAAUGCAGACUACCUGCUCUGGUCCCCAGAAUGCAUUUUAAUGCCUUUCAGCACAAAACAAGACAAAGUGAGCACAAGCGUGAUGAAUCCUUCUGAUCCUCCAGCCAGCGCACUUGCCAAGGUAUUAAGCACAACUGCAUGAAUAUAAAACUGCAACGAGGCCGGAAUCAAAUGCUCAUUAAAAUCACACUGCUGACCUUUUAAAAUGACAAUAUAGGAGAGCUGUAGCGAAAAGAAACAGUGAGGGGACAAUAAUAUCGUGUUAGAGCUUUCUCAUCUGUGCGACAGUAAGCUAUGUGUCUCUUCUGCUAAAUAAACACAAGUUGAAAGAAUGUGAUGUUAGUCAGUAGAGGUAUAUAUAGUAAUAAUAUAAUAUUGCAAAAGGAAAUCCAGGCACGUUGUCUAAGACAUGGAAGAGUUGGUGCCUUCUAAAAUUCAGACCUUGCACAACAAUCCGUGCAGGAUUACACACCACUUUAUAUGGCCCGAUCUGAGCACUGCCAGCCCAGGUGGCCCACUGGGCAUACACUGCCAGGUCCUGCAAGCAGCACGUCUCCUUUGGCUCCUCAGGCAGUGGGAGGAAAGGGAGAGGUGUACGUCCCCAUCAUGCAAGGCUAUGCCAUGCAGGGCUGUGCCACCAGUACAGAGCUAACACAGCCAGCACUGCUCUGCCUGCUCCCAGAGACAUGGGCUGUUACGCAGCCAGCUCAGGCACUGACAACGCAAAACAGUUUUCUACUUCUUUCUCCAAACUACAGACAGCCACUUGGGUUCUUAGGAAUUUGGUACUGAAAUGGUGAUUUGUGCUGGUAAGAGGUGUAAAUGGUAAGAGGUGUAAACACACCACGCAUAUGCGGAACCACAUUUAGAGAAACAGCUUCUUACACAGCCCUCGGCACUGGCAAGCCAAGCCAUUUCGUCUGUUAUAUUCCUAUUUCCGUGUGUCUCAGUGUGUCUGUAAUAACACACAGAGCCCUCUGCCUUGGUGAAUUGUUAGCAACAUGUUAAAGAAACAUUCAUUUGGGUCUCCAAAGUCCUGGCAAACUUGGACCGAAUUCAGAGCAGGUGCCAAUUUAGGGCUGAAUAUAAACUAAUGAGACAUAAAAAUGUCCCUUUGGUCGUUCUUUUAUGAUGCAGCAGGGGGCCGUUUCUUCUCAGACAGCUCUUCCUAUUAAAUGUCCAUCAGUGAGAAAUUUGGAAUAUCCUCUGAGAGUGUUUCUUUGGGGAGACAGCUGAAACCUCCAAGCUGUGCAUCCCUUCAACACUCGUCUUAUCCCACAGUUCAUCUAACUUAGUUGUUCGGCCCCAUCUUUUCAGCUUUGGGCUUCAAAUUCUUUCCCACUCCCUGAGGCAUGCUAUAUACUUGUUUUUAAAAUCUUGGAGAAUACAAAAUAAUUUGUUCUCCUGCCCAGCGUCUACAGAGUUAUUUGGGAACAGCGGGAUUUCUUUAAGGCUCCUGAUUGAGUUUCUCAUUUAAGUGCAGAAAAGCAACUUCUAUUCUGCACCCCUCUCAGCAGAUUGUAGUAAAAGAGGAGAGGGAAAAAAACAAACAGCAAAGCUCUGACAGAUGGUACCCAGCGUUUGACUCAUGCUGGGCUCAGCAGGACCUAUAGUUUAGAAGGUUAGGACUGUCAAAAAGACUCUGCUUAUCAAGUGAGUAACAAAGUGUGGACUGCCAGGCUGUUUCCUAUAGAAAACUUGCAUUUUACAUGUAAUUCUCAGCUAUCUUUCUGAUGCUUCCGAAACUUCUGAGGAGCAGAUGCAUGCUUUUCUAUUUAAGAAGCAGUGGGAAGCUGCCCUGCUGGGAGCAGCCGGCAGCACGGCCGGCCGGGGGCUGAGGGGACCUCCGAGUAAACCAGGGAGCAAGGGCAGGACUCUUCUUCUUCAUUCUCCUUCUCUCGCAGUUCAUUCUCUCUUCAAUCCUUGCCCCAGUCUGAGGACUGCCUUAGCAAAGCGAUGUGGCAAAAUGCAAGCAAAGGCAGAAGGGUCAGAGCACGAGGCAGCGCUUACCAGGCUUUUCUUUUUAAGUCAUUUCCGAGCUCAUGCCAGUCAGCAUUUAUCGCAGCACAGAAGUGUCUGAUGUGACUACAAACAUUAGUGAGCAGACCUGAAGGCAAUCUGAAGUCUGGAGAAGUGCAAAUAAGAGGUUAACAGCUUGUACCCCUGUUCACUGGACCGUCAAACCCUCGACCCUGGUCAGUCAGUGCAGAGCUUUCAGUAACAGCAACACGCCAAGAGUUCAUUCUGCUAUUUAUGAGAGGUAUCCUGUACUUCGUAUCAAUCCACUCACUCUACAAACUGACUUCUAGCUACACGAGAGGCUGCAGUAAGAUGGUGCUGUGCUGUACAGUGCUCCUCCAUCCACUCUGCAAAGCCCCCCGGCAGCUGCCAGGAGAGGCCGCAGCUGUACAGAAGCUGAUGUAUAACCACACAAAGGCUGCACUGAAGCCAAGAUAUUUCAUAAUCUCCAUUUUAUUUCUUCGAAGCAAAACACAAGCUGAUUUCUCCAACACUGAAAGGAAAGAAAAUAGCCUCCACCCUGCUAAUGAUCCCUCAGGGGAGGCACCAUCAAGAGGCAACACUUCUUGUAGCAGAGAAAAGCCACGGCUGCUGCUGUCCCAGCAUGCAACAUCAGCCCUGAGAGUUAUCUGCAGCCCACAGACAUCAACUAAUCUCAGCGGGUGAGGAACGAAGCCUCUCCCCAUGGGAACUCAGCUGAUUCAGGGAGGGCGGUGAGCAGCAAAGGAGGUUUCUGAAAACAAACCACUGAGCUUCCCAGAGCCCCAAUAAUGUCCAUGCACUCCCCAGAGGGGAUUUGCAGAAAGACAAGAAUAUGGCUGGACAGAAAGACACACAGUUGGAAACAUCCAUUGAAUGUGGCACUGGGAACAGGGAAGAAGGCAAAAAGGAGACAUUUAUUCUUUUUCCAUGAUUGUUUUAUUCUCUCAUUUCAAACCUCUGUCCCAAUUCAACUCCUGUCUAAUGUGCCUGCAGUGACAACCAGAAAAAAUGGCAUUAAUUGUAUUUAUCUCAAUUUACCUUCUUCUUGCUGCCAAGAGAGCAUCCAGUCAUUCUUGACCUGGAAAACCUUUGCCAUCUCAGAGGGAUAGCAGCAUUUCCAUUACUCUCCUACUCCCUAGUUCAGCCUUUCCCAGAGAACAGAGCACAAAUCCAAUGUUCCACCAGGUCUGCUACCAAAGAAAAACCACAUUCAUUUAUGACAAAAGCAUGGGUGAAAAUCAAAGUAGUAAGAAGGAGGAAACAUUUGAAAAGUCAUGAAAUACUAACAUGAUGAGUCUCCUACUCUGUUCUUGCUGCUUUUGAAAGGAUUAAAAUCGAUAUUGGUAUUUCCAAGGAAUUUCUAUGCACAAAAAACUUAAUCUGAGCCAGGCCUUCAUGCCAAUAAAAAUGAUUGUAAUGGUGUCAGAACAAAGAUCCAUCUAAUCCACCAGGUGGUAACUAAAAGAAGAUGCCAGAGCAAGGUAAGCACAGUGAUACUUUCCCAAAUGCUCUUCCAGGCUCCAACAAUUUGUGGCUCACGAACUCUCUGAGACAUAUGUUGUCAUGUAUUUAGUAUCCCUAACAAACUAUUUUUCCUGAGCUUGUCCUGCAUCCCCUUGAACCUAGUUAUGCUCCAGUAUCCAUAAUAACUGAGGCAAGGAGCCAGUUUAACUACACACUGUUAGAAGAAUGACUUCUACCUCCACUCAGUAGAGCUUCCUUCAAGCUUUCCUUAGUACAAAAACCUAACAGCUGAGUAUGCAUGAAAAACACUGGCUGUUCCUAAAAAUCUGCUUGAAUUUUAUCAUAUUAUUCCACAAUUCCUGCUGGAAAUGGGAGAAAAAAAAAAACAAAGAAAAAAAAAUAGGGAAAAGAAAACGUACAAAAAAACCAAACCAAAACAAAACUGAGCAAGUAGGAAAGAAAAGAAAGUGACUACCUGCAAUGAAACAGGUCACUGUAUCAAAACAGAGAAUCUGCAAUUCCUACUUUAAGGACCCAAAGAAUUCUCCCAGACAAGUUUACACAUCUUUUGAAUAUCUGCCCAAGUAUCUCAGCAAGUAGAAAGAUGUUUAAAAUUACCAUUCCCUCUCUCUCUUGACGGCAUACUUGGAGAUGGUUAGAUGCCGUAUUUAUUCCAUCAGGCUCAUGAAAUAAGUCACACCCAAGAAAUGUGCUCCAGAGAUGCCCAUUUCAGACAGUAGAGUAUGACUAACAAGCACGGAGGUCUGUGGUCUUCCCAGUUUUGGUCAAUCCACCUCCCACUUGGACCAUAUCUCAGCACAGACAGGGAAGCCGCACAAAGCUGUCCACCCUUUUGGAUGACUCUACAGUCCUGAUGGAGCAAGAGCUUGGGGCACACACUGCAGUUAGCCACCCACACACAUAGGUUUAUGCACUUUCUGAUGAUUCAUAAACCCAGAUCUAACAGCAGAAUUGAGCCUUUUGUUCAUUAAUUUGGAAUGAAGCAGCAGCUAACAUUUUUUACAGAUGACUGUCAAGGCAAAAUCCUGGACUGAACAAUUCUGCUUAUCUAAAAUGAAUUUCAGCUACACCCUUUAAGGCAAAGCCAUCUCUAUUAAAAGAAAUAAAGAAAAUCCCUAAAUCAUAAUCCUGGAACAUUCAGCCAGAUUCUGUACUCUGUGCAGUCCAUUGUCUAAAUUUUGCAGGGAUCCUCUUUACAACAAAUAUUAUUACUGUGCUACAUAAUCCCUACCCAAGGUGGACUAGUUAAAGAUGGAUCUGUGUAUUCUUAACUGCAAAUUCUUCAGCUUUUGGGUGUUCUUGCUGAGUCUUUAAUAACAAAGCUUUGAAAUUUAAUUACUGUCUUAACAGUUGCAACUAUUAUACUUGAGAUAAAUGCAAGAUGAGUAACAAGCAUGUAAAGGGGGAAUUAACUUUAGUCAAAAAGGAAAUAUAUGAGUAAAUUUUUAUUCAUCAAUAACAAAAUUUAACAAAAUUAACUUUAGUGUUAUAUAUGUCAAGUCCAAUUUUCAAACCACUGGAGAUCUUCCUUCUCACUCCUUCCAGCAAAUUCUAUUCAAUCACUAAUUAUGAAUGAGAGGAAGAGCUGCAAAUCAAAACCAGGAAGGUGAGCAGGCAGUGAGAAGAUGCACAACUGCCAGUUGACUUUACUGCAAGCAUAAUGUGGAAAACGUGCAGCACAGCCACUCAGAUGACUGCCCAUAACAUUCUGAAGAAUUACAUCAGAAGAGAAGAUGACCACACAAGAUUACACUGGCAGACAGCUAAACGAGUCUAAUGCACAAAGCUAGCAUGAGAGGGGCUACGGACAGACAAAAGGCUGCUCUGACACAAAGAUACAUUACCACAUUCCCUUAUUUACAGAAGAGGAAGGAUUAACAAACUGUGUUUCAGCAAUAGAGAGGAGGAAAGCAUUUCCAGACUUUUUUAUAUGAUCAAUCAUUUUCUAUGACCUCCCCACAGCAUUGUUGCUCAUAUUUGCAAAAAAGAACACCAAAGAAGACACUGAAAAAGUAGAACCAGUUAGCAGUCUUCUAUCUUUACUGCUGUUUACUUGAUGACGUAGGCAAAGUUUUAGGCAAUAAUGUGCCUGUGAAAAUGGAUGGGGCCCUGGACAGCCUGACCUAGUGGGUGGCAACCAGCCCAUGGCAGGGAGUUGGAAGUAGAUGGGCUGUAAGGUCCCUUCCAACCCAAGCCAUUCUUAGUUGAUGGUUCUAUGCACAGUUGCAAAUGUAAAGUGUAAACAGAUCACAGCAUACACUGUAUAUAUUCAACAAUAUUUACAAAACUAUACAUUUAGAUGUCAGUUCUGCAAGUGAGUUGACUUUCUCAUGCACCCAUGUAUAUUCAUAAAGCAAUACUUGUCCACUGAGUACAAAAUACCAAACAAGACUACAGGAUUAAAUUUCUCUAGAAUAUUUAGUAAAAUAAAUUAAUUUUGAUAACAUAAGACAUUGCAAUGUUUUUUCUUAGGCACAGCAGGUGCUGCAAGAUGGAGAGAGAGACACAUGACACUAUUUUGUGCUUUAAGUAGCAGGAUUGGGAACAUUAUCCGUGUAAAAAAGAAAUAGUUACUGGGUCAAAAGCAUUGGCCUCUGAGAGCUUUCUUCAGAUAGAAAUAAUAUCCCAUUUGGACAAACUUUUCUUCCUCCUUCUAUAAGCUUCUUCUUUACUCUUCUGCUAUUUUCCAACAUAUUCUAACAGCUAUAUUAUUUCUGUAUGUAUCAAUUUAUACUAUUUAUGAACACCUAUGUAUAUCAUUACACACAUAAAAAUAGUGUUGAAAGAAUUUAGAAGUCCAGCCUCCAAAUGUCAGGAAAUGACAGGAUUCAACUUGCACAUUAAUACACACUUAAAAAACGAUAACAGCGACAACCAAAAAACCUCUUCAUGGUUUCUACACAUAUGAGCACAAAAGAUGUCGAGAAUAUAUAGGAUACCAUGAUCCAAAAUGUCUUUGUAAUACAAGGCAUGCUGGUCAUAAGAAGAUUUCGAGAUCUUUUUACUUCUUUUGCUAGAGAUUCUUCAAAUAUCAAAUAUAAUAUAACGGCAGUGUUGUUUCUUUCUAAAUGCAGUACUAAAACUGAUAGGGAACUUCUAAGCUUCUGUGUUCUGUAAGGCAGAACAUUAGCUUAAGAUUGUAAAAAAAAAAAUCACUGCAAAGUUCAGUUUUUACCCAAUUUACACUGAAUUUCUAAAACUAAGAAUCCCCCUCUUCAUCUUAAUACUCUCACCAAAGAAAAACUUUCUGACAGAAGCUAGAAACUUUCUGUCAUCUAAAAUUUUACGUACUAAGUUCACAGAAUUCAUAUUCUCAUCCAGUGGAACUAGACUUCUGUAUUUCCAAUCUUCCUUCAAACGAAGACAUUACAGAAAGGCUCCCAAGCUUGCCAGUUGUGACACGUAAGUUAUUACCUCUAUGAGUCACUAAUUUUAGGUUCCAUAGAAAGUUCAAGGUCACCUAAUUAUGUGAUUGAUUAUAUCUCAUCUUGGAAUUUUGAGGAUCUCCUCAAGAGUAGUAUCUCCUCUGAUAAAUCAACAGGAAGACAGUUUCAGACCAUUCUGCCCAGAGAACUCUAGGCUUACAGGCUCUUUUGAGAAACCAUCAGCACUGCAACUUCUCCAAGCCCUGUGAAUGCACUGCGCUGGCUGAGAUUGCAACCACCAAGAACUCUGCCAGUUUGUUGCCAAAGUCCUUUACGUAGAUUCACAAUUGCAACUUGUAAAUUGCAUGCAGAAACAGCUAAAGCUCUUGAAACUCAAAAACAUUUCUAGCUUGACCAGUGUGGCCAGCAGGGUUGUAAUUUCUGUGAAUCUAGUAUCUGGGGUUCUUGGAAUUUACCAGCUCUGUUGGCAAAACAGUCACAUCUUGUAAUUGCCAUGUGAACAGGAACGAGUUUCAAGGAACUUACAAGCUCCCCAGGACAGCUGGAGGAAACUGCAAAUGUAGUUCGACAGAUAACUAGUGUUCAUGGAAAUUUGCCAAGCCUUUUCGGAAAACAAAUCAUAGUUCAUGAUGGUUACAGUAUUUCAGUGUUGGAACUACAGUGAGGUCCCCUGCAGAGGUUGUACUCCCUGCUGAAUGCCAGAAUAAGACUCUGUCUUUGCUGGAAAUCUAAGUUGCAUUCUUGGCUGUGUACCUAAAGAAGAACAGAAACUUCCCUGGAGAUCUCUGCAGAUUCUACCAUAUGCCUGAAAAAUACUGUAAAUGUUGAUCUAAUGCAAAUUGACUUCAACAGGUAAACUGUUGAAGAUGUAAUCUGUAUCAUUUAUCUCACAUCAAAUAAAACAGGCACCAGAGGAGCAAGCAAGGGUUGAACCCUCAUAGUUCUGGAAGGCUUGAUGAAAGGUUCGUCUCCACAUGAAGCAGAGCAGAAGACUGUGCAAAUAGAAGUGAAGAGGAUCAACGUAGCACUUGGAAAAUAAUUGUUUCAAUUGUGGAAAAUAAUCUAAGACAAAGCCAUCAGUUUUAACAGUUCCAUACAACAGAAAGUUCGAGUAUCAUCAUAUCCCAGUCUCAGAGAUGAUCUCUCUUCCCAAAAUGAGCUGAAGCAUAUAUCCAAAUCUAAAAUUCUUUAAUACAUUGACAAUUUUUGGAACAAGCUCUGGAUAUACAGCCCGGGGAGCUCUUCUGUACAUUGCAUGAUAUGAGAAUUGUGAAAGACCUUUUCCCCAGAGAACACGAUGCCUGUGGUCUGUUGUCUAAUAUUUCAUCUUUCCAUUUCUGGGCUGACAUUUGAACUGUAACUAUACAGUUCUUUUUAAAAUAUUUGCACAUUUUUGUUCUCCUUCCAGUAAACACUCAGCUUUUCAACCACUAUGAGCACUGGAUUCAAACACACCUCAUGCUGCCAUUUUACCACUAGAGGGCAGCUCAAUAUUUAUUGAUCGUUCUCAUUAGCUCAAAGAAUUAAUUUCACUGCAUUCCUAACCAAUGGGUCUACAACACAUAACUUCAGCUCGAGAGUCUUAUAAGAACCUUCAUUGUUUUAAGGAAAAACACGGUGGUUGCUAUUUGAAUCACUAGCUUAUCAUGUAGUGCCCUUUAAGAGGUAUGCAGUAUCCCUAUACACCAAUUUCCAAAGGAACUGUGCUCAGUUUUGGAAACAACCCUAUAUUUUGCCAGGGUUCCAUUUGUUUCAUUGGUGUAUUUCUUAUCUCAUAGGCUUAUGGUGUUUCUCUGCUGCUUGUAAGUCCAUAUGCUUUAAACAGCAACAACAGCAAUUUAUCAAAACCCGUGUUUUUAAAGGUCAGCAUUCUUUUAUUAUGCACAUUUACUUAAAACCACAAAUCUAUGUUAAGCAAUUUUCAACAGAAAAGAACUGUCUGAUUCAAGUUUCCUUAUUUUUUUCUUUUUUCUCUGCUAUCAAGUCCUCUGUAAUAUGUAUAAAACUCCACCGGUGUCAGACCACACCCUCAAACCAACAUUUAGGACAUUUAAGAUUUGCCUAUUUGUAUGUUCUCCUCUUUAAACUCAUCCAUCCUGAGCCAACAAGUGAUCGCUGUCAAUCAGAUCACAGGAGCUCUCCCACUGACCUCAUACUCAGCUCCAUUCCUUGCUCGGGGUCGGCAGGCUCCACCACACCUCUACACACAGUUUAAGUCAAUGUCUGAUUUAAAUGGGGCUCUAACCACAGAUCUGCACAGACAGAAAGCAAAAGCAUCCUUCAGAUAAGCCCCACAGAAGUUUUCCCAUCCCAUCCUCUUCAAGUGACUCAACAGACAAUGUUACCACAUCUCUUGGUGCCCUUAACUGACAAGUUCCCUUAAUUUUGGUCCUUUAUUCUUCUGAAAGCAGCCAUGAGUUGUAUGGAUUACUGGGGUUUCAAAGCCAGCAACUAAUUGUGCCAUCAUACUCAAGCAAAGUGUGGAUUGAGUUUCCAGCCUCAUUCAGAGACCCAUCCCCUCCUCUUACCCCUUCCACAACACACUUCGCACUGCUGCACAGCAUUAGUGUAACAGAAAAAGAAUUUUUUUCUAAGAGUACCAUAUUAAAACAUUAUGCGAU
RNAcentral lists this long non-coding RNA (18835 nucleotides) under Gallus gallus (chicken). Its description in RNAcentral is "lncRNA (ENSGALG00010019651.1)". The record is from RNAcentral. Lineage: Eukaryota; Metazoa; Chordata; Aves; Galliformes; Phasianidae.